Molecule: ribosomal RNA, 736 nt
Filed under: uncultured fungus
Lineage: Eukaryota; Fungi
Description: eukaryotic LSU rRNA
Rfam family: Eukaryotic large subunit ribosomal RNA (bases 462-736)
Source: RNAcentral
UGCUGGCUCUCCUUGGAGUGCAUGUGCACGCUUCUUUAUUUCUCCAACUGUGCACGAAUUGUAGGCCCCUGGUCUAUGUUUUUCACAAUCUCUGAAUGUAUUAGAAUGGGUUGUAAUAAAUAAUAUUAUACAACUUUCAGCAACGGAUCUCUUGGCUCUCGCAUCGAUGAAGAACGCAGCGAAAUGCGAUAAGUAAUGUGAAUUGCAGAAUUCAGUGAAUCAUCGAAUCUUUGAACGCAUCUUGCGCUCCUUGGUAUUCUGAGGAGCAUGCCUGUUUGAGUGUCAUUUAAAACUUCUCAACUGCUUUUAUGCAGCUUGGAAAAUGGGGGAUUUGCAGGCUUUUGGUUGUCUGCUCCCCUGAAAUGUAUUAGUGGUGUUUUGGCAAAACUGACCACAGGUGUGAUAACUAUCAAUACCUUGGUUGUAUCUGCUGCUGCUGCUUUAACCCUAAAUGACCAACUUGACCUCAAAUCAGGUAGGAUUACCCGCUGAACUUAAGCAUAUCAAUAAGCGGAGGAAAAAGAAACUAACAAGGAUUCCCCUAGUAACUGCGAGUGAAGCGGGAAGAGCUCAAAUUUGAAAUCUGAUGGUUGAUAACCGUCCGAGUUGUAAUCUAGAGAAGUGUUACCUGUGCUGGACCGUGUACAAGUCUUCUGGAAUGGAGCAUCAUAGAGGGUGAGAAUCCCGUCUUUGACAUGGACUACCGGUACGUUGUGGUACGCUCUCAAAGAGUCGA